CAGUAGCCGCGGGAAUACGAGGGGGGCAAGCGUUGUUCGGAAUUAUUGGGCGUAAAGGGCGCGUAGGCGGUUUGACAAGUCUUGUGUGAAAUCUCUGGGCUCAACCCAGAGUCUGCACGGGAAACUGUCGGGCUAGAGGAUGGGAGAGGUGAGUGGAAUUUCCGGUGUAGCGGUGAAAUGCGUAGAUAUCGGAAGGAACACCUGUGGCGAAAGCGGCUCACUGGACCAUUACUGACGCUGAGGCGCGAAAGCUAGGGGAGCAAACAGGAUUAGAUACCCCCGUAGUCCCUGUCUCUUAUAC
This 301-nucleotide ribosomal RNA is filed under the name uncultured bacterium. RNAcentral describes it as "partial 16S ribosomal RNA". It matches the Rfam family "Bacterial small subunit ribosomal RNA", at positions 509 to 807 of the family's 1533-position model. The record is from RNAcentral.